Molecule: ribosomal RNA, 253 nt
Filed under: uncultured bacterium
Lineage: Bacteria
Description: partial 16S ribosomal RNA
Rfam family: Bacterial small subunit ribosomal RNA
Source: RNAcentral
UACGAAGGGGGCUAGCGUUGCUCGGAAUCACUGGGCGUAAAGGGUGCGUAGGCGGGUCUUUAAGUCAGGGGGGAAAUCCUGGAGCUCAACUCCAGAACUGCCUUUGAUACUGAGGAUCUUGAGUCCGGGAGAGGUGAGUGGAACUGCGAGUGUAGAGGUGAAAUUCGUAGAUAUUCGCAAGAACACCAGUGGCGAAGGCGGCUCACUGGCCCGGUACUGACGCUGAGGCACGAAAGCGUGGGGAGCAAACAGG